Molecule: long non-coding RNA, 1914 nt
Organism: Chinchilla lanigera (long-tailed chinchilla)
Lineage: Eukaryota; Metazoa; Chordata; Mammalia; Rodentia; Chinchillidae
Source: Ensembl
UCCCGCAGCAAACCCUGGGAAACCCGACCCGGAAGCGCGAAGCCGAGGGGACGCCAGGGGACGCGAGAGGUCGGCUCCGGGCAGACGGAAGGCGCCUGGCUCAGAAAAUGCCCCCGGCCGUCCGCCUCAGUUCCUGUUGCCAGGUCACCUCGUGGGCUUCGGUUCCUGUCACGGUUCCGGUCACUUCUGUUUCGUAGAAGCCUGGGUAAAACUAUAAACUACCUUAAGAUUCUGAAAGGAGACAAGGAUAGAGUUCAGAAUUCUCAGUCUACAGUAGAAGAUGCGAUUCAGGCUCAGCUGUGUCUGGAUCAUCUCUGCAUAGCAGAGGCCCUGGAACCUGGCAGAGGCUGCCCGUCAGUGUGCUGUGCACACGGAAGCCACACCAGCCCUCAGCACCAAGUCUGGCCGCCUCCUGCUCACACAGUGUCCUGGGACAAGGAAACAGGCCACACGCAUGGAUGCAGUCAUGCCCAAACCUCAGAGGACGACAAGUCUGCACGCCCCAGACAGCUAGGUCCCCGGUGCCCUGCAGCCGACCCCUGUCACUUGACUCCCCCUUCCAGGUCUGUACAACAUCACAGGGGUCUUCACAGAGCUGCCCCCAGGCUUCCGGCCCCCCUCUCAGGACUACACGGGGCACACUGGCCUGAGAUCAGGACAUGUGCACUGUUUCCAUUCCUUGGCUUUGGAAAUCAAAUUCAAGAAUACUCUUGACCUGUGCGCUUGAACAUGUGUUUCUGAGAUCAUGUGUGAUACUCUUCUCAGGACAGUUCCUCCGAGAGAAAUUCCUCCACGGAAAUGUAAACACAGUUACAUUGUUACCAUGCUUGGCAAAAGCUCCUUUAGUUUUUAUUUCAUCUUCCUUUGUAGCAGUUGAUUUCCCUACUCUCAGGCCCAGACACAUCCUUCACUUUCAUCCUUGACAAACUGAUGCAUUUUAAUUUUCAUUCCAACUCCAAUUUCAUGUUUGCAUUUGUGUUCACUUUUCUUACUAAUGCACUUGACAGCUGCAUUUCUUAUUUUCAAGGUUCUUGCUAAUAUUCAUUAUUUUCCAGCUGAGGUCUCUGUACUGAAAAAAACCCAGCAUCUGGUCAUCCUGGCUGACGUGGGUGAAGUUUUUCCUGUUCAGCUGUAGCUGCGUCUGCGGUUGCCCUGCACACAUGACGGGCGCCGGUCACCGAGCCUCCGUCACAGCCCCGCAGCCGUGUGGUGACGACAUCCUCAUCAGGGCAGGCACCUGAGUCCUCAGGUCUCCCUGAGAUCCCCAAAUUGAAGCUCCAGUCCUGAACUGUUUUUUCCCUUCUGCUGAACUAAGCCGGCCCCUGACUCUCCAAGGUCUCCGCAUCCUCUGCUGCUGAAGUGAGUGAGGAUAGCAAGUUGUUCCACUGUGGCGGGUCCUCCGGCCUCAGCUGAGCAGCACUGACACACGCUGCCUCACUGUCCUGGUAUUUUCCAUGUGAUUUUGAGUUUGGUCACGCUCAUGCAUUAGUAUAUUGUUUCUGACCUGGGUGAAUUUCACUGUUCUGUGUGGUUUUUCUCUUCUGGUCUUGCUGAGAGAACCUUUCUUUAACCCACACUUGUAAAUCUGAACAGAGAUCCUAACCUACAGUGGGGUGAUGAGAAGAGAAGAGUGCAAAGGAAGAGGAACAGAGGGGCGUCUCUGAGCCGUGGAGAAAUCAGAGGUAGAGCGGGAGGUGGAGGAGAGUUCUGUACCCGGCUGUUACUGAUUUCCGUUACUGUACCAAAAUACAUGAGGGGAGGACACUUAAUAAAGAAAACGGGUCCCUGUGUCUUACAGUUCUGAGGUUCAGUGCCAGAGGGCCUCAUCUGAGAUGUUCUCCCUGCCGGGCGUCCUGAGGGGUACAGAGCGCCACCUGCAGGGCGUCAGGCCCCACACUCAGGUCUGUGUUGUGG